AAAAUAAACUAGGGGUGCCUAACUUCAAGGCUGAGAUUAUACCCUUUAACCUGAACAGGAUAAUGCCUGCGUAGGAAAGUAAAGUGAGAAUCAA
This 94-nucleotide non-coding RNA is filed under the name Saccharicrinis fermentans. RNAcentral's name for it is "TPP sequence". It matches the Rfam family "TPP riboswitch aptamer (THI element)". From Rfam's summary of the family: Vitamin B(1) in its active form thiamin pyrophosphate (TPP) is an essential coenzyme that is synthesised by coupling of pyrimidine and thiazole moieties in bacteria. The previously detected thiamin-regulatory element, thi box was extended, resulting in a new, highly conserved RNA secondary structure, the THI element, which is widely distributed in eubacteria and also occurs in some archaea. The record is from RNAcentral. Lineage: Bacteria; Pseudomonadati; Bacteroidota; Bacteroidia; Marinilabiliales; Marinilabiliaceae. RNAcentral also lists the same sequence under 1 other name.